This 421-nucleotide ribosomal RNA is filed under the name Buccinum aniwanum. RNAcentral describes it as "partial 16S rRNA". It matches the Rfam family "Bacterial large subunit ribosomal RNA", at positions 1966 to 2597 of the family's 2925-position model. The record is from RNAcentral. Lineage: Eukaryota; Metazoa; Mollusca; Gastropoda; Neogastropoda; Buccinidae.
CAUUUGCCUUAUAAUUGAAGGCUAGUAUGAAUGGUUUGACAAGAAUGUAGCUGUCUCUUUAUAAUUAAAUAGAAUUUUAUUUAUAGGUGAAGAAGCCUAUAUUAAAUUAAAAGACAAGAAGACCCUAUCGAGCUUGAAAGAAACUAGUAGAGUAAGAUAAUUAAUGAUAUCAGAAAAUUUACUAUUAGAAAUUUUAGUUGGGGCGACUAAGGAACAAAAAAAGCUUCCUUUAAAAAUUAAAAACUAAACAAGUAUUGAUCCAAAACAUUUUGAUUAAAGGAAUUAGUUACCGUAGGGAUAACAGCAUUAUCUUUUUUAAGAGCUCUUAUCGAAAAAAAGGUUUGUGACCUCGAUGUUGGACCAGAAUAUCCUAAAGAUGCAGCAGUCUUUAAGGGUUGGUCUGUUCGACCAUUAAAAUUCU